CUUCGGGGGAGGAGAGAAGC
RNAcentral lists this microRNA (20 nucleotides) under Oryza sativa (Asian cultivated rice). RNAcentral's name for it is "osa-miR3979-3p". Lineage: Eukaryota; Viridiplantae; Streptophyta; Magnoliopsida; Poales; Poaceae. RNAcentral also lists the same sequence under 1 other name. The record is from miRBase by way of RNAcentral.